AUAUUUAUAAUUUUAUGUAUUAUAAUAUACUUUUAUGAAAUAAUUGAACGACGUGGUCAACGCGUGCAAUUCUAAUAGUUAUUAUUAUUUCUUUCAAUUUUUCAAUUGUUACUAUCAAUUUCACUAAUAUCUUAUAAUCUUUUACAUCAUAGUAUACUUUUAUGAAAUAAUCAAAAAAUAUGUCAACAUGUGAUCUAUUCUCACUAUUAUAUCAAUUAAUUACAUAAUUUAUAUAUUAAAUUUUGAUCAAUUCGAUAUAAUCUUAUGAUUUUAAAGUCAAGUGUCGUGUUGAGCACUUAGGGUUGUAUAUCUGGUAUUGGAUGUCAUACGCCGUACAUCCGUUGCCAUGGCGUCGGGUGACCCUUACUUGGAGUCAUGCAUCUGCGCUCCUUGUCGGGUGUCAUCCACUCGGCACAAGAUGUUAGGGCGCCCGCUCAUUUUGCUGAGGAUUGGACAUAUUUUAUUCAUAUAUAUAGGAAAAAAGUAAUUUCUACAUAAUAUACACAAUAUCAAUACCUAUAUACUCCUUCCGUCAAUGAAAGAACUUCCUAGGAGAGAGUGGCACGGGUAUUUAGAAAAAAUAUUGUUGAGUGUAUUGAGAGUGGAUAAAAGGUAGUUGAGUGCAUUGAGAGUGAUAAAAAUGUGUUAUAAUUAAUAUUGAGAGUUGUGAAAAGUGAAAAGUGAAAAGGGAUUAUAAGUGGUGGGGUAUAGUCCAAAAAUAAGUAGGAAAUUUUUUUGUGGACGUCCCAAAAAGGAAAGAUAAGAAGUUCUUUCGUGGACGGAGGGAGCAUUAUAUAUUUACAAUAUUUUAGAAUUAAACUAAAUUUAAUGUAAUUAUCUUAAAUUUGUAGUUUUAAUAAAUAAAUAAGUAAUAAUUAUUACUUUCAUAAUUUAAAAAGCUAAAAAAAUAUUGAUUCAAAAAAUUAUAUAGAAAUGAAAAAAAUAUACCAAAACUUGUAUGAAACUUAAAAUAUCUAAAAGAAAAUAGAAAAAAAAGGAAACUAAGAAAAUAGGAAAUAAAAAGAGAAAAUGGUGGGGGUGUCGAAAAAUUCAGUCAAAGCAAUAACAUUUGAAAUAAAAAAUAAAAUUUAAAAUAAUUAAAAAUAGUAUAUGUUUGAAUCAAUCUCAAACUUUAAACGAUC
Molecule: long non-coding RNA, 1142 nt
Filed under: Salvia miltiorrhiza (redroot sage)
Lineage: Eukaryota; Viridiplantae; Streptophyta; Magnoliopsida; Lamiales; Lamiaceae
Description: long non-coding RNA (SMIL_LNC004071)
Source: RNAcentral